Molecule: long non-coding RNA, 5194 nt
Organism: Vespula vulgaris
Lineage: Eukaryota; Metazoa; Arthropoda; Insecta; Hymenoptera; Vespidae
Exons: 9
Source: RefSeq, a predicted model, not a curated record
UUGAUCGGCUUAGAAUGUAAUAACCCCUUCCACCGAGCCACGUCUCGAAAAUUAGCUGGGUCUUCGGACCUGACGAUUUGAGGAAGAGUCUCGCAUGCGAAGGUCAUGCUUUCAAAAAUUUUUGAACGAGUAAUGUGCAAGUAUGUGCAAAAUAAUCGUGUUUACGCGUCAUACGUCUCAAAGAAACUUACAAGCAAUCCAAACGAGAUACAGAAGACAAAACACAGACGAAGGCAGUUCCAAUAGCCAUGAAUUGUUGGGUGAGAGCAGAAUCGACUGUUAUCUGAAUUGUAAUUAUUUCCAGAGAAGAUACGAGAAUAUCAACUACGCUCAACUUGAUAAUUAAACAUUAGACAUCGGAAGUGAAACUUAUUUACCUUACACCUCCUGUUCUUCCGUACAUCUUGUGAUAUGUCUUACAAGGAUAGUAUAAAUAUCUGACCAUCAACCUGAUAACGAAAUGAAAACAUUUUCCUGUUCAAUCUUAUAUUUAAAUGGACAAUCAAUCAAUGCUGUGUUUAUCGAAUGUUACUGAAUUUUUACAAAGAUUUUAUGAUGGCUACCGGAGUAUUGCUAUUGAUGAGAGGGACAUUAGGUCUCCUAACUGCAGCUAUCCUUAAGGUAUUGUAUCAGUUUAUAUAAAUCAAGAACCCAUAUAUCUUUCAACUAAUGUAAUGAAGAAUAUUAGAUAUGGGAAGCAAGAUGCUAGAUGAAGGAGAGCAGAUCGUAAAAACGUUGGAGGAAGCUGAUGCUUACGAAUUUAUUACAAAUGUUGCGAAUAAUCUGAAACCCACGUUGGUGAAGGAGGAAGCUAAUUAUCUGGUGUAUGAAAGCAGCAUGUUGCUUUUGCUAGAGCAUUAUUAUAGCUAUCAUCGACUUCAAUAUUGAAUUAUAAUUCAUGAGCGCAUUGGAUCGUUAUAACGGAAGAGUGGUUGAAGAAACGGCGGAAAAUUCUAACCAACGAAGGAACAUAGUUAGCUAUUGCUAUUGCGUGCAUUAUCGGAUUGAGAAUACCUAGGAAAAGGAAAGAGGAGAAAAAACAUUCGUUUUUCCGACGAAGUCAGGAAAGACCAACAUGGCAUUGUUUUAUUAAGCUUGGAACGGCGGUAAGAGGAAAUGGGAGGGAUUUACCUUUUUCAAAGGAUUCAAACAGAUACAGGAGAUGAAACAGAGGCGAAAGCAGUUCCAACAGCCUUGAAGUGUUCAGAAAAAGCAGAAUCGACGUUUAUCUGAAUUGUAAUUACUUUCAAAGAAGAUACGACAAUUUCAACAAGCUCUCCUUGAUAAUUAAACGUUCGACAUUAGAAAUGAAACACAUUCACUUUGUACUUCCAUUUCUUCCAUACAUCAGAUGAUAUGUACUACAUGGAUAAUACAAAUGUCCGACCAACAACCAGAUAAAGAAACGAAAAUAUUUUCCUCUUUAAUCUUAUAUUUAAAUGGUCAAUCGAUCAAUGCUGUGUUUAUCGAAUGUUACUGAAUUUUUAUAAAGAUUUUAUGACGACUACGGGAGUAUUGUUAUUGAUGAGAGGGACAUUAGGUCUUUUAACUGCAGCUAUCCUUAAGAUCGUAAAAGCGACGGAAGAAGCUGAUGCUGCUCACGAAUUUAUUACCAAUCUUGCAAAUGAUGUGAAACCCAAUUUGGUGAGGAAGGAAACUAAUUAUAUGGUGUCUGAAAACAAUGUUGCUAUUGCUGAAGCAUUAUUAUAGCAGCAAUCGACUUCAAUAUUAAAUUUUAAUAAACGAGUGCAUCGUAAAAGCAGAAAAUUAGUUCAAGAAGUAGUUGGAAAUUAUAACCAAAGAAGGAACAUCGUUAGCUAUUGCACUUGUGUGCAUGUUGUGAUUGGGACUACUUAGGAGAAGGGAAAAGAAGAAAAAAUAUUUGUGUUUUGCCGACGUAGUUUGGAAAGACCAAUAUGGCAGUAUUUUAUAAAACUUGAAACGGUGAUACGAGGAAAUGGGAGAGAUUUACCUUUUCUAAAGGAUUCAAACGUGAGCGGCUUUAAAUGUAAGUCAUAUGGGAUUAUACUUAGAGAGAUUUGUCGAGGGGCCGUCGGACGUUCUACGCGGGGCAAAGAUCAAAGGGGAAUUGAAAUGAAACUGAGGGAGGUAACAUAGGGACGAUGAAAAGAUUCACCGUUUUUGGAAGUAAUAACGUUAGCAGGGAAAUACUUUAAAAUUAUACGGGAAAUGGGAAGUCCAUGGUCACGUCAUGGUUAUUCCAUCGAUUUAAAUUAGGUAACCGUUCGAUAUUAUUAAGAAAGGAGAAAUGCUGAAUUCUAUAUUUCAAAUUGUUUGUCAUAAUAUUCACGACAUGUACUUAAAAAAUAUUCGUAAUAUUUAAUUAGCGAUUUUCAUAAAUAUUGAAAUUUGGACGAAGUCAUUUGGUGCGUAGCGCGAAUUACCUGUUAUUAAUACGUUCUCCCGUACUUAUCGUCAAGUACUUCCGUUUUAAUCCUUUCCUUAUUAUCUCUCCAUCGGCGUGUGCUCUGGUGCGCGUAUCUUCUUCAGUUCGAAUGGACGGGUUUGAGUGCCCGGUUCAAUGUGGGUGUAUGCGUACGAUUCCUGUCUUAUCAGAGAUAUGGACUAUUUUCUAAGCAUUAAAUUGAUUUGGAACAUAAUAUACGAAAUAUUAUAUAACUGUAGGUAUAAUGGGAUCAUUAUUUUGCAUUCUCCGAUAGGGAGUAAAUUUCUAGGAAAAUGUACGCGUUCAUGCAGAAGAAUCAAAUCAGUCGUGGUAGAUGGAUCUACUAGAGACUUAAUCAGGUAAUUAAAUGAUGCGGCUAAAUAGAUAAUUCAGUUAUACCACUAAUUUUAUUAUCGAAUUCUCUGCCUGGUUUGAUGAGAGGAAAAACUAAUGAAAAGAUACCUUUCUUGUUUUGAAAAUAAGAGAGGAGAAGUACGCAGACACGCUCACUUGAACUCGUGCACGUAAAUGCGCACAUGUACGAGGAGAGAUAAUUACUCGUUUAAUAUGAUGGUGCUGGACGAUAGGUAGGAGAAAAGGCGUACAUGCAGAUCGUUAAAUCCUGAUCAAUACCCGGUAAUACGGGAAUUUGUAGACAUGGGGGAUCAUAUGUUUUUGGAAAAAUAUCAUAAUUUUUUCCAUUAUAACUUUCUACUUAUCUCAAUGAUAAAUGUUGAAUCAAUUCUCUUUCCACAUUAUCAUCCCUCGCAUUAUGUAUGAGAUUCCUUCCUUUUUUUGUUGGAUGUCAUCACUAACACUCAUCGUAUUCUUCCCGAUUAAUAUUUAUUUUUUCUAACAUAUUUGUAUUAAUAUUUCCCUUUAAUCCAAAAUUCCCCUUCAGUAUUAUUUAUGACACGAAACUCAUUCGUGUUUGGAUAGUUUGCCAUUCUCUUAAUGAAAAAGAAAGAAGUAAAUAAACGUGUUGAUAAUCUCAAAUUGUAUAUUACGAAAUCACGAAACGAUAUAUACCAAAAGAAUAUUACGUUUCAGAUUUUCUGGCUUAUUAGUCCAAGGAACUAUCUAUUUCACUACAAGUAUCAAUACUAAGCGAUUUUAGCUUCGAAAAUAUCUGCUCAGUUUUAUGAUUACUUGUUUACUCCAUCAAAUGUCGCUACCUCGUACGGGGCGUACUCGCGUACCAUUGCAGAAAAUUCUUUAUCACUUUCUUUAAGUGGUUUAGUGAAGCCCCCAGACUAUUGUGUAUGUACUUCUUUUCCGUAAAACCGAUUGAUAUUCUUUUCAUAUAACUUAGUAAUUUGAGCAUUUCUUAAUUAAGUAUCUGAGUGGUUUUCUUGGAGCGGAAAUACGGGAAAGAAAAGAAGGUAAUAUUAGGAAACCAUAAAUGUGACGAAAGAUUUUCUCCAAAUACGUUGUAUAGAUAUAAGUAGUGAAGAGGAACUCCAGAAAGACAUUUAUAUAGAUUCGUUAGAAAAAAUAAAUAUUUAUCCGGAAGAAAAGGAUAGAAGUGAUUGGUCAAAGCUCAUUGAUGAAAGAGAUGGAAAUUUUUUAAAAGAAUUGCUUGAAAACUAAUCAUAGAUUUCGUAGAAAAUAAUAAGGAAUACAAUUUUUAUCUUUUUAUAACGAAAUAUGUUCUUCAAUAUAUACGAAUUCAUAUAAACCAAGCAUCUUUAUAAUACAUUGUAUGAUUUUAAAAUUAUGAUAUAUAAUGUGAUGUGAAUCGUAGGAUGACGUUUGCGCGAUAAAGUGCCAUCGAUUUGUUGAGAGCUAACGACCGAAAGAACUCUGGGCACAAAUGGUUAUUACGUUUUACGCACAUUAAUUGCUUUCACGCACGGAAAGGUCGAAAAUGAAGAUAAUUAAGGGGAAAUGAACUUCUCUUUUAUGAUUGAACAAAUAUCUUUUAAUUCGGAAUGUUACUUUUCUCUUUUUUUCUUUACAGUUUAUAAUUUGAAAUGAACUAAAGAAUGAUGACGAUUGACAAUUAAGUUUUUUCUUGUUUGUAUGCAUAAAAAUGACUAUCAAUAAGAAUUAAAUUCUCCAUUUUUGUAUUUUUUGAUACUAUCAUUUCUUUUUCUUUAUUACGCAAUAAUAAGAAAUGCGGAUUCACAGAAAAUCUUUCCCCAUAUUCAUUUUUUUUUUUUCGUUAUAUCAUCUCUUUUACGUAUUUCAUUUGAAUGCAUUUUACGCAGGUCAAUUAAAAUUGUCUGUUAAGCGGUCGAAAAGUCUGAAAAGGCCGAGGUUGGGAGGAAAUGAAUUUCUCGACCAAUCUCUUUUAAUUCGACCCAUUAUCAUUCGUUCGAAUACCGGUAUGACUAGACGGAAUAUGCCUUUUUGAAAGAACUCAUAGAUGGGGAGUUUUAGCUAGAGGGUAUAAUCGAUUCGAAUCAAAUAGGCCAUUGAAGGGUUGUCCGACCUUGCAGAUGGAACAUGAAUCAAAGUGGAAUUGAGAUGGAACUGAGGAAAGUUUAUCUUCUAACAUGAUUAAUCCUACGAGAACGAUAUAAAGAUUCACUGCUUUUCGAGAUAAUAAUGUUAGGCCGAGAUUACUUUUAAAUUAUACGAGAAAUGAUAAUUCCAUGUUUACUUCAUAGUGUCCUUGUUAUUUAUCCAUUUAAAUUGAGUAGUUAUUCCAUCUAAUUAUAAAUAUAAGAAAUUUUGAGUUCAACGUUUCAAAUUUUUAAUCCUAAUAGUCGUGAUAUGUAUUGAAAGAAUAUUUAUAAUAUUUAAUGUACGUUUUUCAAUAAUAUCGAAAUUUGAACGAAUUAA